GGGAGAUUGAGAGACCAGUGUUGGACUGUAGAACUGCUUUGAAAUUCAUAUAAGCUGUUCGCACUAAAGUAAAAAGCACCAUCACUUCAUGCGGAUACCUUCUCGGCGCCAGCUGCGGUCGCAAGGCUGGAGCUGUACAACAACACCCUGAUUACAGACUGUGUUUAGUCUGUUCCUUCCCAUUCCAUGCAAGGCCACCUGGGUUGGCUGGAAGACUGUUUACUUAGCCUGGCAGGGCGAAGGACACUGUCUCAGCUGAACUCUGGACACGCACACACAUACAUAUACACUGAUAUGCACACACUCAUCCCCCCCUCCCUUUCCAAACGCCUUCGACGCUUAUUCCCUUCCGAUGCUGACGGUGGAUCAAGGAGACCAGCGCAUAGGCUGCAAGCCCGGAUGUACUGUCUAAAUCGGCUGUCUCUCACCCUUUACCCACCCCUGUUGCUUGUCAUGUGUUUCUUUGGUGUAUUAAGAGUUUUUUUCAUGUGCUAUGUGCAGAGGUGUUUUUUUUCUGUUCUCAAACUGAUCUCCCUGUUGGAGCUCAGUCUGGGGGGAGUUAUUUUUUUCUCCUUAUCUUUCCUCGUGUGGUGCUUUUUCCAUGUUAUACCUCUCUGACCUGUCUUCCCCAUGUGAUGUUUUGUGUAAUGUAUGUAUGGUCGGAGGGUAAGAUGGCGCCGCCAUUGCGUGCAAUAGGUCGGCAGCCUUAUGAAAUUUCCCCCUUGUGGGACUAAUAAAGGUAUAUCAAUCAAUCAAUCAAUCAAUCAAAAGCAAUGUCUGACUUUCAUUGGUUAACAUUCAUAGAAUUGUUGUUAUUACUUUUGUCAGAAUAGUGAGUUCAGUGACCAUUGUGACUUUUUCUUUCAUUGACCGAAGGGUGCCAGCAGUUUUGUCCACGUGUGUAUGUCCCACUGGGAGGAGUUCCCCUGGAUAAAGCUGGAGGUGGUGGCUGGGCAGAGAGAGUUCUGGGCUUCUCUGCUUGGGUCCCAGAGGCAGGAUCCUGACUGCAGAUAAAUGGAACAGUGCAAUGAUUCAGCUUGAUUGUCUAUCUUGAGGAUACCAGGAGAGACGAGCCCUCCGUCACAGAUGGUGUGUUCAGUGAAGAAAGUCACCUGCAGAUUCAAGACCAUUGCAUCUCUAUCCCACAUUCACUGCCACUGUACAUAAGGGAAGUUGAACUUUCUUCAACCACUGCAUUUUCAUCAUCUUAAUCCAUGAGUCAUUCAGGCAGUAAUGCCUGGACUGAGCAGGACUGCUUAAACUUGGGUUCAAAAUAAUUCAAUCUAAAACUUUGGUUUUGUUUU
Long non-coding RNA from Oreochromis aureus, 1304 nucleotides. The record is from Ensembl. Lineage: Eukaryota; Metazoa; Chordata; Actinopteri; Cichliformes; Cichlidae.